UGGGCUAUAGCCAAACGGUAAGGCAGCGGACUCUGACUCCGUCAUUGUGAAGGUUCGAAUCCUUCUAGCCCAG
Molecule: transfer RNA, 73 nt
Filed under: Lachnospiraceae bacterium
Lineage: Bacteria; Bacillati; Bacillota; Clostridia; Lachnospirales; Lachnospiraceae
Also listed under: 2 other names
Description: tRNA-Gln
Rfam family: tRNA
About the family: Transfer RNA (tRNA) molecules are approximately 80 nucleotides in length. Their secondary structure includes four short double-helical elements and three loops (D, anti-codon, and T loops).
Source: RNAcentral